AACUGAUACUACCUGCGGGAACCUGCGGAAGGAUCAUUAAAGAGUGAUGCCACCCUUCAAAGGGCUGGUAGUAAACUCCAACCCCCUAUGUUUUUAUUUACCUUUUUGUUGCUUAGGCGGUUCGUAAAGCUUUUUUUUUUUUAAAAAAAAAUGGCUUUCCAUUGGCUUUUUUCUUAGGCUGAUGAGUUUUAACCGCCAAAGGACUUAAAAACUCUUUGAAAUUUAUUGUCUGAGAUUUUU
This 240-nucleotide unclassified non-coding RNA is filed under the name soil metagenome. Its description in RNAcentral is "partial contains 5.8S ribosomal RNA, internal transcribed spacer 2, and large subunit ribosomal RNA". The record is from RNAcentral.